CAGCCGCCACGGGAAUACGAAGGGUGCAAGCGUUACUCGGAUUUACUGGGCGUAAAGCGUGCGUAGGUGGUGGUUUAAGUCCGUUGUGAAAGCCCUGGGCUCAACCUGGGAAUUGCAGUGGAUACUGGGUCACUAGAGUGUGGUAGAGGAUAGUGGAAUUUCCGGUGUAGCAGUGAAAUGCGUAGAGAUCGGAAGGAACAUCUGUGGCGAAGGCGACUAUCUGGGCCAACACUGACACUGAGGCACGAAAGCGUGGGGAGCAAACAGGAUUAGAUACCCCAGUAGUCCCUGUCUCUUAUAC
Molecule: ribosomal RNA, 301 nt
Filed under: uncultured bacterium
Lineage: Bacteria
Description: partial 16S ribosomal RNA
Rfam family: Bacterial small subunit ribosomal RNA
Source: RNAcentral